RNAcentral lists this ribosomal RNA (459 nucleotides) under uncultured bacterium. RNAcentral's name for it is "partial 16S ribosomal RNA". It matches the Rfam family "Bacterial small subunit ribosomal RNA", at positions 338 to 795 of the family's 1533-position model. The record is from RNAcentral.
CCUACGGGAGGCAGCAGUGAGGAAUAUUGGUCAAUGGCCGCAAGGCUGAACCAGCCAAGUCGCGUGAGGGAUGACGGUCCUAUGGAUUGUAAACCUCUUUUGUCAGGGAGCGAAGGGCGCCACGUGUGGCGUUUUACGCGUACCUGAAGAAAAAGCAUCGGCUAACUCCGUGCCAGCAGCCGCGGUAAUACGGAGGAUGCGAGCGUUAUGCGGAUUUAUUGGGGUUAAAGGGUGCGCAGGCGGAAUGUCAAGUCAGCGGUAAAAUUUCGGGGCUCAACCCCGUCGUGCCGUUGAAACUGGCGGUCUGGAGUGAGCGAGAAGUAGGCGGAAUGCGUGGUGUAGCGGUGAAAUGCAUAGAUAUCACGCAGAACUCCGAUUGCGAAGGCAGCAUGCCGGAGCUCAACUGACGCUCAUGCACGAAAGCGUGGGUAUCGAACAGGAUUAGAUACCCUUGUAGUC